GGGUGGGCGUGUGAAAACCCUCCUCCGAGCAGGAAAAACCUCCCCUAGCUGUCCCCACCACACACACGGGUGGGAAUGCCUCUGGGGCCUUCCCCCACCCCCUCCCCAGAGCCCAGGAGGGGGAUCCGACUCUAAGUUCCCCCAAGAGCUGGCUAAUCAGCUCCCCGACCCUCAUCAUAAGGGGUCCACGCACUCCAGCCCUGGUUUCAGCCUUUCCACUGAUCCAAGCCCCUACCUGCCCCAAAAGCAGGGUCCCCCACCCCCACCUCCACCCCCCCGCGCCGGUGUCCGCCAGGCGGCGCCCUUCCAGGAGCAAAAAGGCUGCAGGCAGAUCGCGAGUAAAGCAGCGGCCCCCUCGGGAAAAGUGACCCCAGAUCGCCCCUCGGGAAAGGCCGGUUCUCCCGUGGCCGAAGACGGGACCGUAAUACAUGAGCAAACAGAAAAAAGAAACACAGCAAAACGGAGUUCUGCUAGAGAAAGCAUGCAUCAUAAAGACAGACUUGGAGAAGAAAAAAAAAAUCAAUAUUCAUGCCAGAAAGAUAAACCUCCAGAACAAGGUCCAUAUUUGUAUUAUGGCAGGAAGGGCAAGGUUAUUAAUAGCUUGAAAUGCUGAGGCUUGAAAUGUAGGACCUCCCUUUAUGGGUCCUAACGACUGUCCAUUUCUUGUUUGGGACUGGGCGGAACCCGGCCGCAUCAUCGGGUCUGCAGUGGCGUCUCAGAGCCCACGCAGUGGGGCAACUCUGAAAUGUGACAGUGGGUGCAGGGGCAGGGAGAGGAGGGGACAUUCUGGAACGGAGCCCACUCAUCGUGGGUCUUAGGUCCAGCGCUCAGGCAGGCUGACUGCAAAAGCCUGCUCCGGACGGUCAGUGGCCAGACUCAGACAAGAAGAGUCAGGCGCCCCCUGCUGGCUGACUCAGCUCUGCUUUCCCUUCACAGCCCAAGGAGCCACUGAAGAUCAGCACCUGGAAUCCAGAACCUCCUUCCGCAGCUGGCUCCCCUGACCAUGGGCAGAGCGCUUCGAAUCUCUGAACAUCAGGAGUUCCCGUCGUGGCUCAGUGGUUAACGACUCCGACUAGGAACCGUAAGGUUGCGAGUUCGAUCCCUAGCUUCGCUCAGUGGGUUAAGGAUCCAGCAUUGCUGUGAGCUGUGGUGUAGGCCUCAGACUCAGAUCCCGUGUUGCUGCACCUGUGGCCUAGGCUGGCAGCUAUGGCUCCCAUUAGACCCCUAGCCUAGAAACCUCCAUAUGCCUCUGGUGCGGCCCUGGAAAAGACACACACACACACACACACACACAAAAGGAAUCUCUGAACACCAGUUUUCUCCAUCUGUAAAGGGAAUAACUGCUUUCUGUCCAUCCUAGUAAGAUAAGAAAAAUUGUAACUAUAUGAGGUAAUGGAUAUUAAUUAAACUUUGUAAUUUUUUAGCAGUAUAUACAAGUAUCAAAUCAUUAUGUUAUACAGUUUAAACGAAUAAGAUGUUAUAUGCUGAUUACAUCUCAAUAAAAAGUGGGAGGAAGAAAAUUGCUGUUAAUCUUUUCUUUUUUUUUUUUUUUGGUUGACUUUUAAGGCUGCAUCCACCGCAUAUGGAGGUUCCCAGGCUUGGGGUCGAAUCAGAGCUACAGCUGCUGGCCUAUGCCACAGCCACAGCAACAUGGGAUCUGAGCCUUGUCUGCGACCUACACCACAGCUCACCACAACGCUGGAUUCUUAGCCCACAGAGCAAGGCCAGGGAUAGAACCGACAACCUCAGGGUUAGUUGUCAGAUUUGUUUCUGCUGUGCCACGAUGGGAACUCCCCUCAUUUUGUUUUAAUCUAAAACUGAAAGCCAUCAACUAUACGUUAACAAAAAAAAAAAUUGUAAUAAAUCAAAAACUGGAAGCUUUUAUUCCACUUACAGUGUUGGUUCUAAGGGAGAUGAGAGAGAUAAACAGGUGUCUGUUUCACAGGUCAUAUUCCUGAAACGGCUAAUGUACUGGCUAUCACACUGGCUAACCUAAAUAUUAGAUACCGUGAAACCAAAAGAUUCAUAAAAUGUACUACUUUUAAGCAUGUAGAACUUACACUAUACGCUUAGGGAGAGCUUGGUUAUACCUAGAUGCUAUAUUGGAAAUGCAGCUCCAGCCGCGUCAUGUGAUAUGAGAGUGUAUUUCUUUACUCUGCAACUUCAGUGAGACCAUAAAAAUUAGAUUAUGCGUCGGUAUAACACCCAUCAUUAAUAUAACUAAAGAUGUGCUAAAAUGAAAGCGACAAGAUGGUCCCCAACCAGAUUAAAACUCAUAGAAUACAAUCAUGUUCUAACAGAUGAAGUGUCAUAUCACUACCAUAAAACUGAAAAACUUAAAUCAUCCCUUUGGGUAGGUCUAGGCUCUGGGUUUUUGUUCAAGCAAGUUUGCAAGUCAUGCAGCGCAAGCAAUGUGCUACAGUCACGCCUCUCACCCCGCAAUUUUCUUUGCUCCAUAGAACCAAGAUGAAUUGGUUUGCAGGGGGAUUCAAUUACGAGGGACACAUUUCAUUUUCAAAUCUGAACAUUUUUGCAAAGAUGGAUAUUUUUAGAAAGCCUCCUGAUAUUUCUUUUCAGAAGCACUACUGAUUUUAUUGAAAGCAAAAAAGCAAAAGCAUGAAGAUCAACAUUUAGAAAAGACAAAAACACAUGUAUGCUUUAUUGUUGUAAAGAAAAUACAUUGGAUUUAAAACAGGCAAGAAGGAUUUUGUUGACUGUUCAGUUUGGGUUUCUAAGGAAUGAAGAAAUCGUAAUGUAUGAAUAUAUGUGGAAGAGCUUGAAAAUGUGCAUUUUAUUUUAUUUUAUUUUAUAUUUUGUCUUUUUGCCAUAUCUUGGGCUGCUCCCACGGUAUAGGGAGGUUCCCAGGCUGGGGGUCGAAUCGGAGCUGUAGCAGCCGGACUACACCAGAGCCACAGCAACUCGGGAUCCAAGCCGCAUCUGCCACCUACACCACAGCUCAUGGCAACACCGGAUCCUUAACCCACUGAGUGAGGCCAGGGAUCAACCCCACAACCUCAAGGUUCCUAGUUGGAUUCGUUAAGCACUGAGCUACAACGGGAACUCCCUUGAUGCACAAUUUUAGUUCUAAAAAUUUAUCCUUAAAAGAAUUCUUAGAAAUCUAUGCUUCUAGCAAAAUAUUAGAA
RNAcentral lists this long non-coding RNA (3143 nucleotides) under Sus scrofa (pig). RNAcentral describes it as "lncRNA (ENSSSCG00045021782.1)". Lineage: Eukaryota; Metazoa; Chordata; Mammalia; Artiodactyla; Suidae. The record is from RNAcentral.